Molecule: ribosomal RNA, 465 nt
Filed under: Vreelandella stevensii
Lineage: Bacteria; Pseudomonadati; Pseudomonadota; Gammaproteobacteria; Oceanospirillales; Halomonadaceae
Description: partial 16S ribosomal RNA
Rfam family: Bacterial small subunit ribosomal RNA
Source: RNAcentral
CCUACGGGAGGCAGCAGUGGGGAAUAUUGGACAAUGGGGGGAGCCCUGAUCCAGCCAUGCCGCGUGUGUGAAGAAGGCCCUCGGGUUGUAAAGCACUUUCAGUGAGGAAGAACGCCUGGUGGUUAAUACCCAUCAGGAAAGACAUCACUCACAGAAGAAGCACCGGCUAACUCCGUGCCAGCAGCCGCGGUAAUACGGAGGGUGCGAGCGUUAAUCGGAAUUACUGGGCGUAAAGCGCGCGUAGGUGGCUUGAUAAGCCGGUUGUGAAAGCCCCGGGCUCAACCUGGGAACGGCAUCCGGAACUGUCAAGCUAGAGUGCAGGAGAGGAAGGUAGAAUUCCCGGUGUAGCGGUGAAAUGCGUAGAGAUCGGGAGGAAUACCAGUGGCGAAGGCGGCCUUCUGGACUGACACUGACACUGAGGUGCGAAAGCGUGGGUAGCAAACAGGAUUAGAUACCCUAGUAGUC